This 127-nucleotide ribosomal RNA is filed under the name Propithecus coquereli (Coquerel's sifaka). The record is from RNAcentral. Lineage: Eukaryota; Metazoa; Chordata; Mammalia; Primates; Indriidae.
GUCUACGGCCAUACCAUCCUGAACGCGCCCGAUCUCGUCUGAUCUCAGAGUAAGCAGCAAAAAGCGUCUCAGGAGCUGCUCCGGUGCUGCCUGAGAUGCUGCCUUCCUCUCUGCGGUGCCGGGGACA